AAAAAGGGUCUCUGCCGUGACUGACAUAGCUGUGGGAAGGGACUUUCUGACACAGUUAUGGAAUCAUUAUCAAGAGAUUUCGGAUGCUCAAUUUUGUAACUUUAGGCUACAAUUGAUCGAUGUUCUUGGUGCCUUG
Molecule: small nuclear RNA, 136 nt
Organism: Rhinichthys klamathensis goyatoka
Lineage: Eukaryota; Metazoa; Chordata; Actinopteri; Cypriniformes; Leuciscidae
Product: U11 spliceosomal RNA
Exons: 1
Source: RefSeq, a predicted model, not a curated record